AAAAAUCUUGGACUUGAACCUCUCUCAUUUGAGCCCACAGGUCCACAAAAAUCAGGUUAUAAAUUCAGAGUUUCAGUGAAACAAAUGGCAUUCCAUUCCUAUUACCCUGUCUGGGAAAAAGAUAGUGAGAGAAGAACUCUGGGAAAAAGAUAGUGAGAGAAGAACUCUCGGAAAAAGAUAGUGAGAGAAGAGCUAACAGAGUUCAGAGCAACCUUUAG
Molecule: long non-coding RNA, 218 nt
Filed under: Lathyrus oleraceus (garden pea)
Lineage: Eukaryota; Viridiplantae; Streptophyta; Magnoliopsida; Fabales; Fabaceae
Description: Pisum sativum (pea) long non-coding RNA (PSAT_LNC029104)
Source: RNAcentral